This is a long non-coding RNA of Chiroxiphia lanceolata (lance-tailed manakin), 526 nucleotides long. RefSeq lists it as uncharacterized. NCBI's taxonomy places the organism in Eukaryota, Metazoa, Chordata, Aves, Passeriformes, Pipridae. The transcript has 3 exons. The record is from RefSeq and is a predicted model, not a curated record.
ACCUCCUCUCUAUCGCAGGACCCGUGAGCACAAAGGUGCGGAAUUUUUGCGAAUUUCCUUUCCCCGCAGCGCAAGCGGUUCGGUGUUUCUGCCACUUUUCGGCCAGUUUGCUCUUUUCACGGGGGGAAUUUCAGGGACCAUGACUGGACUGCUGCGGAAGACCAGGCUACCAUGACAAACUGGGCACUCCAUAGUCAUUUCCUCUGUCAUUCCCGGGAGAUUUUGACGGUAAGAGCUAAAGCAGGACCAUCCUGUCUCCACAAGAACUCCUCCUUCAAUCAAAUCAUUCUCACUUGACGGCAGUGAUACAUACCUCCAUGCACAAAGAUGACACAGAAAGUACACAGCCUAGGCCAUAGACAGUAAGAUACAGCCCUUGCCUCGGUCCUUGGUCAACAUCCCACACCCUUGUGCUGUGGGUAGGGACUUCUUUUACUAGAUCAAGUUUUCAGUGACUGAUGUACACAAUAAUCCUAUUAUUAUUUUUCAACAUUUCAAAUUUUCCCCGACUCCUGGCAGCCCAAUC